This is a long non-coding RNA of Argentina anserina (silverweed cinquefoil), 787 nucleotides long. RefSeq lists it as uncharacterized. The record is from RefSeq and is a predicted model, not a curated record. NCBI's taxonomy places the organism in Eukaryota, Viridiplantae, Streptophyta, Magnoliopsida, Rosales, Rosaceae. The transcript has 3 exons.
CACUAUCUAGAUAGGUAAGAUAGCCAACUGAAACCGUACCAUUCGUCCGGAGUUGCUCUGGAGUUUCCAUUCCCAUGGAAGAAGAAGAAGAAGCAGAGGAAGAGGCACUGCUGCCUGCUGAAGUCAUCUCAUGGUUGAUCCUGGAUAAAAUAUGAUUCAAUCCCAUCAUCGCUAUUUUCAAAUAAGGACUGCAGACACUGGAAAGUUCAAUACAAAGGCCUCCUGUAUCUGCUUUGGACUAUUCAGACAGAUAUUUCCACAUGAAUCUAUCCGAUAAUGGGCACAAUAUCCGAACAACUAAGUUUUGUGCUAAUCUUGAGAAUGUUUGAAACUUUUAAUACUUGCUAAGAGUGGAAAUCUUGUUAAAUAUUAAGUCUGAUCUUUCUGCAGCACAAGAAUUAUAGUGAAGUUUUCGAGAACUGAUCCCCUUAUGCCUUCUUCCUCAGGAACCUCCACCUUAAAUAUUCCAGUGGGUCAUCGCACUGCAGUGUUUAAGGUGGAGGUCCUGAGGAAGAAAACACAAGGUUCAGUUCAUGUGUGUUUAAUACAACUACAACGUAUAUUUUUGGGGGUCACUGAGUUCACAAGUGAGCUGUUUUAGAAGUGUCAGACUUCGAUAUAGAGGGGUUUCAGAAUGAUGUGCAGACUACACAAUUUUGGCAUCAGGAUUUGUAGCAUUGAGCAGAGAGGUUAAGGAUGUACUUUAUAUAUUGUGAUCGAUAUGCUAAUUCAGCAAAUAUAGACAAUGUGGUACUGGGGUAUAUAUCUUAUUCUUAUAUUCUAUCUA